CGAAGGGGCUAGCGUUGCUCGGAAUUACUGGGCGUAAAGGGAGCGUAGGCGGACAUUUAAGUCAGGGGUGAAAUCCCGGGGCUCAACCUCGGAAUUGCCUUUGAUACUGGGUGUCUUGAGUAUGAGAGAGGUGUGUGGAACUCCGAGUGUAGAGUGAAAUUCGUAGAUAUUCGGAAGAACACCAGUGGCGAAAGGCGACACACUGGCUCAUUACUGGACGCUGAGGCUCGAAAAGUGUAGGGGAGCAAAACAGGAUU
RNAcentral lists this ribosomal RNA (257 nucleotides) under uncultured bacterium. Its description in RNAcentral is "partial 16S ribosomal RNA". It matches the Rfam family "Bacterial small subunit ribosomal RNA", at positions 527 to 779 of the family's 1533-position model. The record is from RNAcentral.